RNAcentral lists this ribosomal RNA (119 nucleotides) under Anolis carolinensis (green anole). Lineage: Eukaryota; Metazoa; Chordata; Lepidosauria; Squamata; Anolidae. The record is from RNAcentral.
CAAGAGAAAUAAAAUAUCCUAAAGGCAUCAGAUCCCAUCUGAUUUUGAAAGCUACGCAGGGUCAUUCCUGGUUAGUACUAGGAUGAGAGACCACUAAUGAAUACCAGGUGCUGUGUUAU